Molecule: ribosomal RNA, 292 nt
Filed under: uncultured bacterium
Lineage: Bacteria
Description: partial 16S ribosomal RNA
Rfam family: Bacterial small subunit ribosomal RNA
Source: RNAcentral
GUGUCAGCCGCCGCGGUAAUACGGAGGGUGCGAGCGUUGUCCGGAAUCACUGGGCGUAAAGGGCGCGUAGGCGGCCCGUUAAGCGUGUGGUGAAAGCCCGGGGCUCAACUCCGGGUCGGCCAUGCGAACUGGCGGGCUCGAGCACUGUAGAGGCAGGUGGAAUUCCGGGUGUAGCGGUGGAAUGCGUAGAGAUCCGGAAGAACACCGGUGGCGAAGGCGGCCUGCUGGGCAGUAGCUGACGCUGAGGCGCGACAGCGUGGGGAGCAAACAGGAUUAGAAACCCUAGUAGUCC